GGCCGCGGGAAGACUACCCGCUUGAUAGGCGGCAUGUGUAAGCCGGGCAACCGGUUCAGCUGAGCCGUACUAAUGGCCGAGGGCUUGACCAC
Non-coding RNA from Chloroflexi bacterium RBG_16_64_32, 92 nucleotides. The record is from Rfam. Lineage: Bacteria; Bacillati; Chloroflexota.